RNAcentral lists this ribosomal RNA (478 nucleotides) under uncultured bacterium. Its description in RNAcentral is "partial 16S ribosomal RNA". It matches the Rfam family "Bacterial small subunit ribosomal RNA", at positions 28 to 523 of the family's 1533-position model. The record is from RNAcentral.
GACGAACGCUGGCGGCGUGCUUAACACAUGCAAGUCGAGCGAUGAAGCUCCUUCGGGAGUGGAUUAGCGGCGGACGGGUGAGUAACACGUAGGUAACCUGCCUCAUAGAGGGGAAUAGCCUUUCGAAAGGAAGAUUAAUACCGCAUAAGAUUGUAGUAUCGCAUGAUACAGCAAUUAAAGGAGUAAUCCGCUAUGAGAUGGACCCGCGUCGCAUUAGCUAGUUGGUGAGGUAACGGCUCACCAAGGCGACGAUGCGUAGCCGACCUGAGAGGGUGAUCGGCCACAUUGGGACUGAGACACGGCCCAGACUCCUACGGGAGGCAGCAGUGGGGAAUAUUGCACAAUGGGGGAAACCCUGAUGCAGCAACGCCGCGUGAGUGAUGACGGUCUUCGGAUUGUAAAGCUCUGUCUUCAGGGACGAUAGUGACGGUACCUGAGGAGGAAGCCACGGCUAACUACGUGCCAGCAGCCGCAGUAA